GCCCCGGUGGCCGAGCGGUCUAAGGCGUCGGGCUGCAGAACUAGCGGAGACCCGAUUUUUCCCGGGUUCGAAUCCCGGCCGGGGCUCCA
This 89-nucleotide transfer RNA is filed under the name Vulcanisaeta souniana JCM 11219. Its description in RNAcentral is "tRNA-Cys". It matches the Rfam family "tRNA". Rfam says of the family: Transfer RNA (tRNA) molecules are approximately 80 nucleotides in length. The record is from RNAcentral. Lineage: Archaea; Thermoproteati; Thermoproteota; Thermoprotei; Thermoproteales; Thermoproteaceae.